GAUGAACGCUAGCGGCAGGCUUAACACAUGCAAGUCGAGGGGUAUUGGUUUUCGGACCAAGAGACCGGCGCACGGGUGCGUAACGCGUAUGCAAUCUACCUUUUGCAGAGGGAUAGCCCCAGAGAAAUUUGGAUUAAUACCUCAUAGUAUAGUACUUUGGCAUCAAGGAACUAUUAAAGUCACAACGGCAAAAGAUGAGCAUGCGUCCCAUUAGCUAGUUGGUAAGGUAACGGCUUACCAAGGCUACGAUGGGUAGGGGUCCUGAGAGGGAGAUCCCCCACACUGGUACUGAGACACGGACCAGACUCCUACGGGAGGCAGCAGUGAGGAAUAUUGGACAAUGGGCGCAAGCCUGAUCCAGCCAUGCCGCGUGCAGGAUGACGGUCCUAUGGAUUGUAAACUGCUUUUAUACAGGAAGAAACACUCCGACGUGUCGGAGCUUGACGGUACUGUAAGAAUAAGGAUCGGCUAACUCCGUGCCAGCAGCCG
Molecule: ribosomal RNA, 489 nt
Filed under: uncultured bacterium
Lineage: Bacteria
Description: bacterial SSU rRNA
Rfam family: Bacterial small subunit ribosomal RNA
Source: RNAcentral